GAUGAACGCUGGCGGCGUGCCUAAUACAUGCAAGUCGAGCGAACGGACGAGAAGCUUGCUUUUCUGAUGUUAGCGGCGGACGGGUGAGUAACACGUGGAUAACCUACCUAUAAGGCUGGGAUAACUUCGGGAAACCGGAGCUAAUACCGGAUAAUAUUUUGAACCGCAUGGUUCAAAAGUGAAAGACGGUCUUGCUGUCACUUAUAGAUGGAUCCGCGCUGCAUUAGCUAGUUGGUAAGGUAACGGCUUACCAAGGCAACGAUGCAUAGCCGACCUGAGAGGGUGAUCGGCCACACUGGAACUGAGACACGGUCCAGACUCCUACGGGAGGCAGCAGUAGGGAAUCUUCCGCAAUGGGCGAAAGCCUGACGGAGCAACGCCGCGUGAGUGAUGAAGGUCUUCGGAUCGUAAAACUCUGUUAUUAGGGAAGAACAGAUGUGUAAGUAACUGUGCACAUCUUGACGGUACCUAAUCAGAAAGCCACGGCUAACUACGUG
Molecule: ribosomal RNA, 497 nt
Filed under: uncultured bacterium
Lineage: Bacteria
Description: partial 16S ribosomal RNA
Rfam family: Bacterial small subunit ribosomal RNA
Source: RNAcentral